UACAGAGGUCCCAAGCGUUACUGAGAAUCACUGGGUUUAAAGGGCGCGUAGGUGGUCCGUUAAGUUCGUUGUGAAAUCUCUGGGCUCAACCCAGGAACUGCUUCGAAUACUGGCGGUCUUGAGGCUGGUAGGGGUCACUGGAACUGACGGUGGAGCGGUGAAAUGCGUAGAUAUCGGGAGGAACACCUGUGGCGAAAGCGGCUCACUGGACCACAACUGACGCUGAGGCGCGAAAGCUAGGGGAGCAAACAGG
Molecule: ribosomal RNA, 253 nt
Filed under: uncultured bacterium
Lineage: Bacteria
Description: partial 16S ribosomal RNA
Rfam family: Bacterial small subunit ribosomal RNA
Source: RNAcentral